RNAcentral lists this ribosomal RNA (140 nucleotides) under uncultured eukaryote. Its description in RNAcentral is "partial 18S ribosomal RNA". It matches the Rfam family "Eukaryotic small subunit ribosomal RNA", at positions 1299 to 1458 of the family's 1831-position model. The record is from RNAcentral.
UGGUGGAGUGAUUUGUCUGGUUAAUUCCGUUAACGAACGAGACCUCAGCCUGCUAAUUCUAGUGGCGCCGCUACUUGCUAGCGGCCGACUUCUUAGAGGGACUGCCGGUGUUUAGUCGGCGGAAGUUUGAGGCAAUAACA